RNAcentral lists this transfer RNA (66 nucleotides) under Camelus bactrianus (Bactrian camel). It matches the Rfam family "tRNA". From Rfam's summary of the family: Transfer RNA (tRNA) molecules are approximately 80 nucleotides in length. Their secondary structure includes four short double-helical elements and three loops (D, anti-codon, and T loops). RNAcentral also lists the same sequence under 2 other names. The record is from Rfam by way of RNAcentral. Lineage: Eukaryota; Metazoa; Chordata; Mammalia; Artiodactyla; Camelidae.
GGUAUAGCUUAAGUGGUAGAGUGUGUGCUUAGCAUGCACGAGGUCCUGGGUUCAAUUCCCAGUACC